AUGUAAAUUGUCCCUAUUGUGUAGGAUAGUGCUAGUGUACUGUGUGAUCGCUGGUCGGCGUGGACUUGGUGGGCCGAAGGGCCUGUUUCCGUGCUGUAUCUCUAAAGUCUAAAGAUUAUCUUGCCCUGGACAAAUACAAUUGCCAUUUAUUAUAUUAUGAUUGGUUUAAAGAGUUAUUUAUGUACGAAGAGCUGUAUCUUAUGUAUCUUCUCUUUACUGGUGCGAGCGACUAGAACCAGUGCUUGGUUAUCAUAUGUUAUCUUCAACAUGACAUCAGU
Molecule: long non-coding RNA, 278 nt
Organism: Amblyraja radiata (thorny skate)
Lineage: Eukaryota; Metazoa; Chordata; Chondrichthyes; Rajiformes; Rajidae
Exons: 3
Source: RefSeq, a predicted model, not a curated record